RNAcentral lists this long non-coding RNA (653 nucleotides) under Ursus maritimus (polar bear). RNAcentral's name for it is "lncRNA (ENSUMAG00000005651.1)". The record is from RNAcentral. Lineage: Eukaryota; Metazoa; Chordata; Mammalia; Carnivora; Ursidae.
AUGACAUCUGGUCAUGAAAUCCAAGCUGCUGUUUGAUGAAGUUGGAGAUUAGGGGCUGAGGCUGUUGCUCUUCGGGCAAGCUGAUCUGGUCCCAUUUAAGUCUGUCAAGAUGUGUCACAUGGACCACAGGAGCUAGAAGAGCAGGCAGGUUGUCUCAUUCCAGGGGCAAAGUUGGAUCUCAGAGGGCUCUCCCAAGUCCACACCCUCAGCUUAUGUGCUUCCCGUCAUCUUGUUGGGGAUAACAAGAUCAGGAUAACAAUAGUGACUUAUGGGUGUCCGUGGCCACCUUCCAAGCUGUUUGUACACCUAUCAGACAUCGAAGGAUCCAGGGCUAGAGAUCCAGCAGAGGCUCUGUGCUGAUUGGACUGUUGCUCAGGUCCAGGUCAAGACAUCACCACCUGCAGCUCUCACUCUCACUAACUUGUGGAGAGAAAAGGGUGUUAAUGACGACCUUCUAAAGAGGAUGAGGAUGCAGUUGCGUUCUUCACCUAUAUAUUACAAGGAUCUGCAUGUAUGUGUAAUCUGAGAGAUGGGAGUAGUUAAGCAGAGUGGUCCUGCAAUUAAUCUCUUCUUAUGAACUGUAACUUCUUUCUACAAUAUUAUUUUUAGAAAUGUUACCACAUAUAUUUAGUUCUUAGUUUUAUAUAUUAAAA